UACAGAGGUCUCAAGCGUUGUUCGGAUUCAUUGGGCGUAAAGGGUGCGUAGGCGGCGCGGUAAGUCGGGUGUGAAAUCUCGGAGCUUAACUCCGAAACUGCAUUCGAUACUGCCGUGCUUGAGGACUGGAGAGGAGACUGGAAUUCAUGGUGUAGCAGUGAAAUGCGUAGAGAUCAUGAGGAAGACCAGUGGCGAAGGCGGGUCUCUGGACAGUUCCUGACGCUGAGGCACGAAGGUCAGGGGAGCAAACAGG
Molecule: ribosomal RNA, 253 nt
Filed under: uncultured bacterium
Lineage: Bacteria
Description: partial 16S ribosomal RNA
Rfam family: Bacterial small subunit ribosomal RNA
Source: RNAcentral